Molecule: ribosomal RNA, 406 nt
Filed under: uncultured bacterium
Lineage: Bacteria
Description: partial 16S ribosomal RNA
Rfam family: Bacterial small subunit ribosomal RNA
Source: RNAcentral
AUUGAACGCUGGCGGCAGGCCUAACACAUGCAAGUCGAACGAGGGGCGGACGGGUGAGUAAUGUCGGGGAAACUGCCUGAUGGAGGGGGAUAACUACUGGAAACGGUAGCAAAUACCGCAUACUAUCGGGUGCGCCCAGAGGGGAUUAGCUAGUAGGUGGGGUAAAUGCACACCUAGGCGACGAUCCCUAGGUGGUCUGAGAGGAUGACCAGCCACACUGGAACUGAGACACGGUCCAGACUCCUACGGGAGGCAGCAGUGGGGAAUAUGGCACAAUGUGGGCAAGCCUGAUGCAGCCAUGCCUCGUGUAUGAAGCAGGCCUUCGGGUUGUAAAGUACUUUCAGCGGGGAGGCGUUACCCGCAGAAGAAGCACCGGCUAACUCCGUGCCAGCAGCCGCGGGAAUAC